RNAcentral lists this unclassified non-coding RNA (232 nucleotides) under plant metagenome. RNAcentral describes it as "partial contains small subunit ribosomal RNA, internal transcribed spacer 1, and 5.8S ribosomal RNA". The record is from RNAcentral.
UCUCCGUAGGUGAACCUGCGGAGGGAUCAUUACAGAGUUCAUGCCCUUCCGGGUAGAUCUCCCACCCUGUGUUAUCGUCACCUUUGUUGCUUUGGCGGGCCGCCCAGGCCUAGGCCCGGCUACCGGCUCCGGCUGGUGCGCGCCCGCCAGAGGACCCUAAACUCUUGAAUAUCAGUGUCGUCUGAGUACUAUGUAAUAGUUAAAACUUUCAACAACGGAUCUCUUGGUUCUG